GAUGAAGAACGCAGUGAAAUGCGAUACGUAAUGUGAAUUGCAGAAUUCAGUGAAUCAUCGAAUCUUUGAACGCAUAUUGCGCUCUCUGGUAUUCCGGAGAGCAUGCUUGUUUGAGUAUCAGUAAACACCUCAACUUCCAUAUCUUUUUUGAAAUGGGAGUUGGACUUGAGUGAUCCCAACGCUUUUCCUCACCGAAAAGUGGCGGGUUACUUGAAAUGCAGGUGCAGCUGGACUUUUCUCUGAGCUAUAAGCAUAUCUAUUUAGUCUGCCUAAAAAACAGAUUAUUACCUUUGCUGCAGCUAACAUAAAGGAGAUUAGUUCUUGUGCUGACUGAUGCAGGAUUCACAAAGACAGGCUUCGGCCGACUUUGUAAACUCGAUCUCAAAUCAAGUAAGACUACCCGCUGAACUUAAGCAUAUCAAAAGCGGAGGA
This 432-nucleotide unclassified non-coding RNA is filed under the name soil metagenome. RNAcentral's name for it is "partial contains 5.8S ribosomal RNA, internal transcribed spacer 2, and large subunit ribosomal RNA". The stretch from base 1 to 120 matches the Rfam family "5.8S ribosomal RNA", at positions 35 to 154 of the family's 154-position model. The record is from RNAcentral.